AGGGAUUGCCCCAGUAACGGCGAGUGAAGCGGCAACAGCUCAAAUUUGAAAUCUGGCCUCCGGGUCCGAGUUGUAAUUUGCAGAGGAUGCUUUUGGCGAGGUGCCUUCCGAGUUCCCUGGAACGGGACGCCAUAGAGGGUGAGAGCCCCGUCUGGUCGGACACCGAGCCUCUGUAAAGCUCCUUCGACGAGUCGAGUAGUUUGGGAAUGCUGCUCAAAAUGGGAGGUAUAUGUCUUCUAAAGCUAAAUAUUGGCCAGAGACCGAUAGCGCACAAGUAGAGUGAUCGAAAGAUGAAAAGCACUUUGAAAAGAGGGUUAAAAAGUACGUGAAAUUGUUGAAAGGGAAGCGCCUAUGACCAGACUUGGGCCCGGUGAAUCACCCAGCGUUCUCGCUGGUGCACUUUGCCGGGCACAGGCCAGCAUCAGUUUGGCGCGGGGGACAAAGGUUUCGGGAAUGUGGCUCCCUCGGGAGUGUUAUAGCCCGUUGCGUAAUACCCUGCGCCGGACUGAGGUACGCGCAUUGCAAGGAUGCUGGCGUAAUGGUCAUCAGCGACCCGUCUUGAAACACGGACCAAGGAGUCGUCUUCGUAUGCGAGUGUUCGGGUGUCAAACCCCUACGCGUAAUGAAAGUGAACGUAGGUGAGAGCUUCGGCGCAUCACCGACCGAUCCUGAUGUUCUCGGAUGGAUUUGAGUAAGAGCAUACGGGGCCGGACCCGAAAGAAGGUGAACUAUGCCUGUAUAGGGUGAAGCCAGAGGAAACUCUGGUGGAGGCUCGCAGCGGUUCUGACGUGCGAAUCGAUCGUCAAAUAUGGGCAUGGGGGCGAA
RNAcentral lists this ribosomal RNA (825 nucleotides) under Cordyceps ninchukispora. Its description in RNAcentral is "LSU rRNA". It matches the Rfam family "Eukaryotic large subunit ribosomal RNA", at positions 70 to 927 of the family's 3401-position model. Lineage: Eukaryota; Fungi; Ascomycota; Sordariomycetes; Hypocreales; Cordycipitaceae. The record is from RNAcentral.